AAAACAUGUCUCUUAGAAAUUAUUAAGAGUCAGGCCUGCCCAGUGAUUGCUUUUUAACGGCCGCGGUACCCUGACCGUGCAAAGGUAGCAUAAUCAUUUGCCUUUUAAUUGAAGGCUGGUAUGAAUGGUUUGACGAGAGUAAAGCUGUCUCACAUAUGCUUAAUAAAAAUUAAUUUAAAGGUGCAAAAGCCUUUAUAAAUCAAAAAGACGAGAAGACCCUGUUGAGCUUUAAUUUAAAUUAAGUAUUAACUAUAUAUUUAUAUAAUUUAUUUACUUAACAAAAAUUUUAAUUGGGGCGAUUAAGGAACACUCAAAAGCUUCCUGAUUAUUUCAUAUACAAUGUUUCGUAAACUAAAUCGAUCCAGCAAUGCUGAUCAACAAAAUGAGUUACCACAGGGAUAACAGCAUAAUUCUUUUUGAGAGCUCAUAUCGAAAAAAGAGAUUGUGACCUCGAUGUUGGACUAGGGUAACCAGAAGGUGUAGCCGCUUUCUCGCUUGGUCUGUUCGACCAGUAAUUCCCUACAUGAUCUGA
This 532-nucleotide ribosomal RNA is filed under the name Neritina violacea. RNAcentral describes it as "partial 16S ribosomal RNA". It matches the Rfam family "Bacterial large subunit ribosomal RNA", at positions 1810 to 2608 of the family's 2925-position model. Lineage: Eukaryota; Metazoa; Mollusca; Gastropoda; Cycloneritida; Neritidae. The record is from RNAcentral.